This is a long non-coding RNA of Pocillopora verrucosa, 3156 nucleotides long. RefSeq lists it as uncharacterized. Lineage: Eukaryota; Metazoa; Cnidaria; Anthozoa; Scleractinia; Pocilloporidae. The record is from RefSeq and is a predicted model, not a curated record.
GACGGAGGCCAUUUUUUGGCAGAGCAUUUCCUAGAACGUUUAAAAUCUCCUUUUUUCGUGGAAAUAUUAAUUCGUUCCUGCUUUUGCCUAAAAGAGCGCGGGGUGAGGACACGACCAACGGUCUUGUAUGAUCUGGAAGCUAAUCGAUUUAAAGUUUAGUCCGUUGCCACGUAUAUAUAAAUAUAUAUUCUGGUUGCAACGCAUCGUAACAUAUCUUCUAGACUUUGAGAGCAGUUCCGAGAGUCGUUUCCCACUUCGUCCAGUGUCCGCCAGAAGGAAACUCCAAGCGAAAGAAAAGUGGAGGCCCCAGUUCAUCAUCAGUGGGUGCUUGUUUAUACCCUCACGCGUGAUACGUAAUAAAACUACCAUAGAGGUCAAGGAUAAAAAAGCUGUAGAGCUGAAAAUAAAACAAUUUCAACAAAUAAUAAAUCUAAUAAAAGCUGGCUUUAAGUAAAAUAAGCAGUGCAGACCAGACUGAUAAAUCAAAAUAAAUGAAAUGCAAAAAGAUCAACCUUUUUUGUUAGAAAAUUCACUCGAUCGAAGUCAAUAAUCUUCAAAGAUUAACUUUAUGCUUCAAAAUCACCCAGAAAAGAACGACCGAGCUGGCUGUGUAAUCCACUUCAUAAAUCACUGUGACGUAAGAAUUUUGAUGAAAACAAAAAGUGCUCUUUUUAAUUUUCCCUGAAAAUUCCGAUGGACGAGUCCUCAAGAAUUGUAAGGCUGGAUUUCCACUUUUUCCAGAAAAUACAUUAAUAGAUAUUAGUAUUCUAGUUGUCGACUAGGAUGCACAGAAUUAGUAGACGCAAUCUACGUAGGGCUUGAGUCCGCUUGGAAUGUUGAUUCAACCAUCCAACCUUUUCAAACGCGAGCCGUCCAUUUUUUGUCGAUCUCAGUCUCUAAAGUUAGCUGUAUUAGACCCGUAACGUUUGGCUAGGAAACCAAAUCCAAUUUUAGCCAUUGAACCAAUAAACGACCAACAAUGGAUUUGCAGGUCCAGUAAAAGUAAGGGAACGAGAUAGAGAAAUUAAUUUUCCGUUGUAGCUCAAGAGAUAUGACGGAAUUGAUACGAUUUCUAUCGGUUUUGUUGAGGAAUAAACUUGCAUAACUUGGAAUAUCCUAGAACGAAGUGACUGUAGACUAAGCAAGAUUAUGCUAAGAGCCAAUGAGAACUCAAAGUAAAACCGAGCAAACUGCAUAACGCGCGGGAAAACGCGGGCGACUGAGUCGUAAUUGGUUUUGGUCUUGCAUCUGAUUGGUUGAGAAAGGGCCAAUUACAGAGCAAAGUUACGCAUAACGAGAUAAAUCCUGGAUUACUUUUGACAUUCAGUUUAAAAAUGCUCUUGGCCAUUAACUCGAUUUCUUAUCAACAAACGAAAUCCUGUCAUCAUCAUAAAAUGUACUAUUUUUGAAGUUUAAAACGUUUGAGAUCGAGGUACGUAUAUGUGACACUAUAAUUUAUGGUAAAAAAUUGAACAAAGUGAAACUGCCUCUCCGAAUAAUAAGUUUAUUUAGUUGAUACAAAGUCAAAAGUCAUAUCGUUAUCAUUUUAAAGUCCUUCCAGACUAUAUCAAUAACAGUCACUAUAAAUAGAUGAAUCACUGAUCAUUAAAAUAAAUGGCAUUAGAUGCACUUAAAUUGCGAUCAUGUUAUUUUAAAUCUGAACUACACAUCUGCAUAAACAUAAGUACGUAUUUUCACUUCAAUGUCAACAUUUUUAUAACAAAAAUUAGAGAUUUACUUUAUCUCUUUUUUUAUUUUAAAAAAUGUUUCUUGAGAAGUAUCAGGAAUAUUGUUGUAACUCCAGUCUGGACAAAAACUAACCUAAUGGCCUUUGAUUCUUAAACCCUCGGCAAAUAAAAAGCACCGGGAGGGGGGAGUGGAAUGGGAAAGUAAGGUAUUAAAUUUCUGCAUGGGGAGGCCCCCUCCCCGAGGUGCAAGUACCGUCCUCUUUUUAUAAACCGAUUCCUCUGAAAAUAUAACUUCUUUAGCAUAAUCAUACCUCUUUCACAAGCAAGCUUAACAGCACUUUUUCAGAGCCCUUCAAAUGACGCGUACGCACGAUAUUUCUGGAGAAAAUCUAAAGCCCUUAUGAAUGCCUAAAUGAUAAUUUUCGUACUCUUUGGCGCAGUUAGAGCCUGAGAAGGGUACUCUUUUAAGGCGGAGCCCUCCUGUGCAAGCCAUUUAAAGGAUUACUCCCUGGGAAAUUGCUAUAUACUGUCCUAGCAUGAUAUGUCUUUCCCUUAAGCCUGUGACACCCGUAUUAUAAUGUACAUCCUCCUCAAAUUAUCAAUACACUGUUAAAGUUUCAAUCACCUUGUGGGGUAUCAUCAUAAUAUACCGCUAAAUUCUCCCAACUAACUUAGAAGAAAUUUUAUCGCCGCGAUAAGCGAGUAUGGCGAAUUUGAUCAUGGAAGUUACAUUGAAAAAAGCUAGUUGUUCUCCUUCUGGAGUAUUGGAUUCAGAAAAUACGCAAAAACCAUAAUAAGAUUUCUGCCUGGUUCUGCAUCCUUUUAGUCUUCACAUUAAGUAACCUAAGAAAAUCAGAGCUCUGACAAUUCUGUUUUCAGUAUCCACUGGAGACUGGGAAAAAGAAUACAUAACAUGCAAAAUAUAUUACAAAAAUGUCGUACAUCAAUGUUUCUGUGUCUUGGUUAACCUCUAUUUCCUUUUGCUUAUAUAUUAUUUAUCACUGAAGUGAUUGAGAAAGCUAGUCCUCUGCGAAAUGCAUUGGACGAACACCUCCGAAGCCAAUUCACAUUACACUUCAAAAUGUUCCUUCAUGUCUCGAUCUCGUUAGGAGUAACCACACCAUCUUUGCUUGGCGCGAUUCGAUGCUCAUUUUUCUUGCUUAUUUUUCGGUAAAGAACUGCUAGAUCAGUUAAGAUUAGGUUCAGGAAGUGGAGAACCCAGAAGGGAAAUGAUGGGGUGAUCAUCGAAAAUCCGUGAUAAAUCUGUAUCAAACUGCCUCUAAUUUGCGUUUUGGAGCGCAUUCAAAUUCAAAGCCUUUGGUAGGUAACACCCUUCACGUUACUCUGACUACUUACUCUUGGCACUGGUUUUGCUUCAACAACAACCCAACGGAAAGUGCCCCACACCAUUGAAAAGUCUCAAUGCCGAGGUUUUAAGCCUGUAAUACUCUAACAGCCAUGGUUUCAA